AGGACACUCUAUACGGAGUUACAAAAGAACAGACUAGACGAAUCAUCUGGAAAGAUGAAUCAAAGAAGGUAAUAAUCCUGUAGUCGAAAGUUUGUUCACUCUUGAGUGGAUCCUGAGUACGACGGAACACGAGAAAUUCCGUCGGAAUCUGGGAGGACCAUCUCCCAAGGCUAAAUACUCUCUAGUGACCGAUAGUGAACCAGUACCGUGAGGGAAAGGUGAAAAGUACCCCGGAAGGGGAGUGAAAUAGAACUUGAAACCGUGUGCUUACAAGUAGUCAGAGCCCGUUAAUGGGUGAUGGCGUGCCUUUUGUAGAAUGAACCGGCGAGUUACGAUUUGAUGCAAGGUUAAGCAGUGAAUGUGGAGCCGUAGCGAAAGCGAGUCUGAAUAGGGCGUUGAGUAUUUGGUCGUAGACCCGAAACCAGGUGAUCUACCCAUGACCAGGUUGAAGUUCAGGUAACACUGAAUGGAGGACCGAACCGACUUACGUUGAAAAGUGAGCGGAUGAGUUGUGGGUAGCGGAGAAAUUCCAAUCGAACCUGGAGAUAGCUGGUUCUCUCCGAAAUAGCUUUAGGGCUAGCCUCAAGUGAUGAUUAUUGGAGGUAGAGCACUGUUUGGACGAGGGGCCCUUAUCGGGUUACCGAAUUCAGACAAACUCCGAAUGCCAAUCAAUUUAACUUGGGAGUCAGAACGCGGGUGAUAAGGUCCGUGUUCGAAAGGGAAACAGCCCAGACCACCAGCUAAGGUCCCAAAAUAUAUGUUAAGUGGAAAAGGAUGUGGCGUUGCCCAGACAACUAGGAUGUUGGCUUAGAAGCAGCCAUCAUUUAAAGAGUGCGUAAUAGCUCACUAGUCGAGUGACACUGCGCCGAAAAUGUACCGGGGCUAAACAUAUUACCGAAGCUGUGGAUUGUCCGUAAGGACAAUGGUAGGAGAGCGUUCUAAGGGCGUUGAAGCAUGAUCGCAAGGACAUGUGGAGCGCUUAGAAGUGAGAAUGCCGGUGUGAGUAGCGAAAGACGGGUGAGAAUCCCGUCCACCGAUUGACUAAGGUUUCCAGAGGAAGGCUCGUCCGCUCUGGGUUAGUCGGGUCCUAAGCUGAGGCCGAUAGGCGUAGGCGAUGGAUAACAGGUUGAUAUUCCUGUACCACCAUUAUUCGUUUUAAGCGAUGGGGGGACGCAGUAGGAUAGGCGAAGCGUACGAUUGGAUUGUACGUCCAAGCAGUGAGAUUGAGUGUUAGGCAAAUCCGGCACUCUUAAGAUUGAGCUGUGAUGGGGAGAGGAAAUUGUUUCCUCG
This 1290-nucleotide ribosomal RNA is filed under the name Staphylococcus saprophyticus. Its description in RNAcentral is "partial 23S ribosomal RNA". It matches the Rfam family "Bacterial large subunit ribosomal RNA", at positions 296 to 1587 of the family's 2925-position model. Lineage: Bacteria; Bacillati; Bacillota; Bacilli; Caryophanales; Staphylococcaceae. The record is from RNAcentral.